This 569-nucleotide ribosomal RNA is filed under the name uncultured bacterium. RNAcentral's name for it is "bacterial SSU rRNA". It matches the Rfam family "Bacterial small subunit ribosomal RNA", at positions 244 to 856 of the family's 1533-position model. The record is from RNAcentral.
GCUAGUUGGUGAGGUAACGGCUCACCAAGGCGACGAUCGGUAGCCGGACUGAAGGUUGACCGGCCACAUUGGGACUGAGAUACGGCCCAGACUCUACGGGAGGCAGCAGUGGGGAAUAUUGGGCAAUGGGCGCAAGCCUGACCCAGCAACGCCGCGUGAAGGAAGAAGGUCUUCGGAUUGUAAACUUAAAUCGUCGGGGACGCGGUACCCGAGGUGAAGCCACGUCUAACUACGUGCCAGCAGACGCGGUAAUACGUAGGUGGCAAGCGUUGUCCGGAUUUACUGGGUGUAAAGGGCGUGUAGGCGGAUUUGAAAGUCAGGCGUGAAAUGCCGCAGCUUAACUGCGGGCUGCGCUUGAAACUUCAGACCUUGAGUACCGAGAGGAAAGCGAAUUCCUAGUGUAGCGGUGAAAUGCGUAGAUAUUAGGAGGAACACCAGUGGCGAAGGCGGCUUUCUGGACGGCAACUGACGCUGAGGCGCGAAAGUGUGGGGAGCAAACAGGAUUAGAUACCCUGGUAGUCCACACUGUAAACGAUGGAUACUAGGUGUGGGACCGUGCCGGAGUUAAA